This 460-nucleotide ribosomal RNA is filed under the name uncultured bacterium. Its description in RNAcentral is "partial 16S ribosomal RNA". It matches the Rfam family "Bacterial small subunit ribosomal RNA", at positions 338 to 795 of the family's 1533-position model. The record is from RNAcentral.
CCUACGGGUGGCUGCAGUGAGGAAUAUUGGUCAAUGGGCGCGAGCCUGAACCAGCCAAGCAGCGUGCAGGAUGACUGCCCUACGGGUUGUAAACUUCUUUUAUACAGGAAUAAAGUUAGGCACGUGUGCCUUUUUGUAUGUACUUUAUGAAUAAGGAUCGGCUAACUCCGUGCCAGCAGCCGCGGUAAUACGGAGGAUCCGAGCGUUAUCCGGAUUUAUUGGGUUUAAAGGGAGCGUAGAUGGGUUGUUAAGUUAGUUGUGAAAGUUUGCGGCUCAACCGUAAAAUUGCAAUUGAUACUGGCAGCCUUGAGUACAGUUGAGGUAGGCGGAAUGCGUGGUGUAGCGGUGAAAUGCUUAGAUAUCACGAAGAACACCGAUUGCGAAGGCAGCUUACUAAACUGCCACUGACAUUGAGGCUCGAAAGUGUGGGUAGCAAACAGGAUUAGAUACCCGAGUAGUC